RNAcentral lists this ribosomal RNA (274 nucleotides) under uncultured bacterium. Its description in RNAcentral is "partial 16S ribosomal RNA". It matches the Rfam family "Bacterial small subunit ribosomal RNA", at positions 523 to 796 of the family's 1533-position model. The record is from RNAcentral.
AUACGAAGGGGGCUAGCGUUGUUCGGAAUAACUGGGCGUAAAGCGCACGUAGGCGGAAUGUUAAGUUAGAGGUGAAAUCCCAGGGCUCAACCCUGGAACUGCCUUUAAUACUGGCAAUCUAGAGAUCGAGAGAGGUGAGUGGAAUUCCGAGUGUAGAGGUGAAAUUCGUAGAUAUUCGGAGGAACACCAGUGGCGAAGGCGGCUCACUGGCUCGAUACUGACGCUGAGGUGCGAAAGCGUGGGGAGCAAACAGGAUUAGAAACCCGGGUAGUCC